UACGAAGGGGGCUAGCGUUGCUCGGAAUGACUGGGCGUAAAGGGCGCGUAGGCGGUUCAUACAGUCAGAUGUGAAAUUCCCGGGCUUAACCUGGGGGCUGCAUUUGAUACGUGUGGGCUUGAGUGAGGAAGAGGGUUGUGGAAUUCCCAGUGUAGAGGUGAAAUUCGUAGAUAUUGGGAAGAACACCGGUGGCGAAGGCGGCAACCUGGUCCUUUACUGACGCUGAGGCGCGAAACGUGGGGAGCAAACAGG
RNAcentral lists this ribosomal RNA (252 nucleotides) under uncultured bacterium. RNAcentral's name for it is "partial 16S ribosomal RNA". It matches the Rfam family "Bacterial small subunit ribosomal RNA", at positions 524 to 776 of the family's 1533-position model. The record is from RNAcentral.